RNAcentral lists this unclassified non-coding RNA (204 nucleotides) under Hevea brasiliensis (rubber tree). The record is from RNAcentral. Lineage: Eukaryota; Viridiplantae; Streptophyta; Magnoliopsida; Malpighiales; Euphorbiaceae.
GCAGAAGAGAGGGUGGUUUGGGAAUUGGGGAUUAAAUACAUUUUCAUCACAGCAGCUGUACAUUUCACAAGUUUGCCUGUUGCAGCAGAGUUUCAUGUUUUCUUUGUUGCUCCAUUUGAAAGACCAUUAUAACCUUCUCUUCCACUUCUCAAAACCUCAGAUGGUUUCUGAAGCUGCUCCAAUGUUGUUACAACCUCAUUCAUG